This is a long non-coding RNA of Musa acuminata AAA Group (dessert banana), 4358 nucleotides long. RefSeq lists it as uncharacterized. The record is from RefSeq and is a predicted model, not a curated record. Lineage: Eukaryota; Viridiplantae; Streptophyta; Magnoliopsida; Zingiberales; Musaceae. The transcript is spliced from 3 exons.
CAGGGUUUGUGGUUGUUGUCUGCCGACCCUUCAAUGCUCUGCCAUGGUGAAACCACGUGGCUCAGGGUUUGAUGUCGUUUUACGACGUUGCUGCAGUCGGCGCUGUUCUUAUCAUGGUGAACUUACCUGGCUUAGGGUUUGUUGUCGUUCUCCACCAUCUCUGCAGGCCGCGCUGAUCUCCCAUGGCGAAGCUGCGUUCCGGUUUUGCCUGUUUUCGUCUGGCAGAUCUUCGAGUUCGUGGUGUUCCUGAUGGUAUCGAUUAGGUCUUCCCUUGAUCUGUCUUGUAUUUUGGUUCUUUUUGUCAGAUCCCCAUACUAUUUCUCUCAUCCGAUCUGCUUUUCCUUGAGAUUCUCCUGGUUUCUCGUCGAUUCGUUAGUGAAUUUCUUUCCUCCUAUAUUGCUGUCACUUGGAUGGGUAUGCUGCAACAAAAGCAUCGAUCAUCGAUCUGAGUUGCGGAUCCUCUAUGUGAGGUUGAUAUUUCGUGUCAUAACUCUUGUAUGCAGGGAAGGGGAUGAUUUCUUUUCUGCUUGUUAAGCAGUUCCAUGGCUGAAAACAUAUGAUAGAGUUUCAUCCACCAGACGAUCGCGUCGCCUAGAUCUACGGAUCCUAGCUAUUUCUAGGUUACCUUAGAUUCUUUCUCAGGCGCCUAUGAUCAUGUUUCUUGGAUCAGGAGUUCGGUAGAUGACUGUUCGUGUUCCAUGGAUUUUGUUGAUCGUACGUCUCUUUUAUAAGUACAGAGGAACUCGAACCAUGGGGCGGUUUAUGAUUGUCAGAGUAUGUUCUACGAUAGCAAAUUCGUAUUAAAGGUGUAAAAUUAUGAUAUUCCCUGUGGCUGGGAACAAGCGGGUAUUGAUUGAGGGAAGGUAAUUUGGAACUGAACUUUGUUAUAUGGGCCUUUGCCAUGUUGGGUGCGCUCGCAUGGCAGGUCACCUAUCCUUAAUAAAAUUUUAUUUUUUUGGGUGUGCUUGUGGGGAGAUCGCACGGGGUAUUGUUAUUUAUCCCUGGGUUCUCCUCCACUUUGUGGUGUUGCGUCAUCGGUUCCUUUUUGCCCCUGCAUAUUUGCAUCCGCAUAGCGUUAUGUCGCCCCACUAAAUAUCUUAAGACUUCAUUAUUUGGGUUGGUACGAAAUCAUUUUCGGAGUGAUGAGGUCUAUUUUGUUUUUGGGUUUCCAUAGAUACUGUCAUGCAUUUAAAACAGUCAUUGACACAUUAUGCAGCUCUUUCCAGAGAGAUUGAGCAUACUCAGUUACUUUAAAACAACCGCUUUAAUGAUUAGCACAAUAAGUUAUUCUAUUAUUUAUUUAAUUACAACAUUCCUUCUCCCUUUGCGAUUAGCUUCCAGCCAAAUUUGUAGACACAUGCAAUGGUAAUUUGAUAUGUCGAGACUACUUCAAUGGUCAGUGUCACUAAGAUCGUGCUGCAUCUUAUUUACACUUUCAUACAUUGUGACUGGACCAUGUAAGGUUCCAUAUUGUUGCAUCCUCAUGUAUUCGUUUCAGUAUAAGAUCGUCAACCCUGAAUAGUCGAUGAGGGUCAAUCGCCAAUUGCUGGUUGUUAUGGUUUGAGAAUUGAAAUUUCGUUUUUCUGUUCUUGUUUUCGAAGUAGUUUCAAUAUCACUGGUACUUGAGAUUUAGGUCAUUUGGAUUUUGAAUGACCUGCAGCAGAGACAAUAAUCUUCAUUUUCAGAAGAACAUGACCAUACAUCAAUGUACUUUUGUAUUGGGCCUCUUGUGUUGCAGGAGCUGGAGAUUUCUUCCAUUUAGGGAGCAUGUACGAGGAAAAAGAAGCUUAUUUCAGAUCCAUGGAGCUUGACGUGUUCCAAGGAAUUUGGUGACCAGCUGUUAUUAAUCAUCGGAGGAACUAGCGGUAUGGAUACAUUGGGCUAUCAGAGGUUCCCUGUGUGCUUCUGGUGGUGAUCUCAUGGGACGUUUCUUGAUUCCUUGCUCUUACUCUCCAGUUGCUCUUUCUCUUACGCCGUUAUUUGCUUUGUGGUUAAUCUAAAUUUUUUAGGUGUUUUGGAUUUUACUUCCAUGGGAGGUAUAUACCACUGUGCACAGACGUAACUCUCAACAUUGACUUAUGUUACAUUGAAUAGGAAUAUGUGGAUGAUCUUGAAUUGUUGCAAACAUGAUCUUCGUUUAUCUUUCACUUUUUAUAGCCAAUUUGAUGUGGUGAAAAAGGUCACCACCAUGAACUCUUUUUAAUCUUAUCUGGGUUGAAAUGUCUACUAAUUGUUAUAUCCUUUGUUGAGGGUUAGGUAUUGUUGUCAUGAGAUUGUUUUUCAGUUGCUUUAUUGAUAGUUAAAGUUUUGGUGUCGUUUUUUUAUGAAGCUGUUGUUUUAUUUGGUCUUAUUUUGAUGUGUCUUCUGAUUUGUUUGUGCAAUGUUGUUAUAAUGGCGAAAUGGAGUCACAAUUGUAUGAACGUCCAUUCUGCUAAUUUGACUUUUUAAGCCGGACCAAGUCAUUUGAUGGCUUUCUCCGGAAGAUACAGGAGAUCGACUGGUGUUAACUGUUAAUAUAAUUUAAUUUGACUGGUAUGAUGAACUGAUGGCUUUCACCAAUUUAGUUUGAGACCAAAGUAGUUCUAUUUUUGUCGUGAAUUCUUUAUGCAUUAGUUCAUGAUGGUAUCUGCUUGUUUUGAAGCAGUAGGAAGAUACUUCUUAUGAAUGUAAAUGUAUGAUUAGAUUGUUUUCAAAGUAACCGACAGAUAUACUCUUUAUUUAAUGUGUUCUAUAAUUUUGAUGAUAAAAAAGCUGGUGUCUAAGUAGAAUGAAAUCAAGAAUCGCUGUUUAGCUGCACUUAAAUUCUUCUCUUCUUGCAUUUGAUUAUGAGCAAGUUCGUCGGAAGUCAUUUUGUGAAUCGGAGGUAGGGGUGAAAGUGAAAUUAUUUUUCUCGGAAUAGAAAAAUAAUUUCUAUUCAACCGGUGGAUAAAAAUCCGUAGGUGAGGCUCGCAGCGGGUUGUCUUGUUGGGUCUUUAAGCUCAAAAUGGCAAGAGCGCUCAAAUCAUUUGAAAGUGAAUAUCGGGUACUUUUGAAUGCCUUGAGAGGUUGGUGGUUCGAGCCCACCGAGAUCCUUUCAUGUUUGUCAGCGGCCGUAUGUUUUUUUAAUCUUUGUAUUGAGGUCUGAACAGAAAAUUUUCUGAUUAAAAUGGUUUUCGACAAUUAGUUCUUUUAUUGCUUACAUAUUUUGAGGAUGGUGUGAUCUCUUCACGUCUUUUUUAUGUGAACGUACUAAAUUAAACUUGUGAAACAGAGUUUUAUGGGAAAGGAUUAAGCUUGGACCACCUGCAGCUCGUUAGUUCUUUCGAGACUAUCCAGCUAAGCAGGAGCUUCAGCCAUGGCGGGUCUAUUGAUACGAGAACGUAUCCUCUACGAUCUUCUUUUAGAACGAGACGGGGGAAGUCCAGACGUUGAAGAAGUGGAGUUUAAAGUGCAAACAUACCGGGGAAGUCCAUUAUUGCUUUGAUGUGUUAUUACAAAUCAAUUAUGAUGACCGGGUUCCCGAUACACAUGGUCUUAUGGUUGUAAACUGGACGAGAGCGCGACAAAGCCCAGGGAAGCGUGGAAGGCAAAUCCCCACCAGGCGAGCCUCGUGUCCAACAUGUGGCACGAGGUUUGUGAAAAAGUUCCACGUGUUCUCUCCUUUGAGCGUCCUUCCUCCACUCGGUGAUCCAUGUAAAGACGGCAGCGAACAAAAUUGGUGGGUUCUGAGAACGGGAAAGAUCGAAGUGAAACGACAUGGGAGGGCAGGUUGACAUCAUGCUCCGUUUAGGCCACAGCGUAGCGGGAGUAAUUCGCCUGAAUCCCAGCCCAAUCGCACUCCUGACCCCCGUGGGACGUAGAGGCGGCCCAGUCUGCUUCGUCUCUGGCGCGACACCUGAGAAGAAGGAGAGGAAGAUGGACGAAGACGAAGAGCAGCAUACUGAUUCCGUUAACACCUAUCAAGGGGAUGCGAUGAGUCACUCCUUUGGGGAAGCGUACGCGACGCGCUCAGACUGGGAAGGUUUUGGAGGCAUCUACGGCCGAAAUCCUUCGGAUAUAACUCAUCCCGGUAUGUUUGUUUUUUCCCCUGAACUAAAUCAUAGAUUUCUCAUCCUCAAAUAAGAAAGUGUCACUUGAUUCUCUUUUUUUCUCUCUCUCUUAAAAAAAAAAAAAAGAAGAAUACGACAAGGCGCAGGGGAGCGAGGUGAAGGAAAAGGAGAAGGCUCCCAACCAAGCCACAUGAUGAGUCUUAGGCUUUUGUUACUUGUUUCCCGUUGUCUACGUAUUUACCUGGUAACUCGAUGCUACUUCUCUUUGCUGAAAUCCCUGUUAUGACAGUUAUCUUUAAGAAAUAAAUAACUUUAACAACUCUUUAAGUA